This is a long non-coding RNA of Poecilia latipinna (sailfin molly), 295 nucleotides long. RefSeq lists it as uncharacterized. NCBI's taxonomy places the organism in Eukaryota, Metazoa, Chordata, Actinopteri, Cyprinodontiformes, Poeciliidae. The record is from RefSeq and is a predicted model, not a curated record. The transcript has 3 exons.
UGCUCCUGAUCCUCAAACCACUUCUGGUUCUCCACCCUCUCCUCCAUCAUCAUCUCUUCCUGUUCUCUACCUCCUUGUGUUUCUAUCAUGUGUGAUUCUUGUGGUUUUCCUGCUGAUUCUGGUUUUAGUGGUGAAACGAUGCGUUCAGAGAAAACCUGAAGAUAAUCUAGAAGAUGGAGAGGACAACAUUACUUACAGUAACAUCCAAACUUCACAUCAUCGACGACAGAAAAUCAAAUCAAAUGAAGAUGUUUUUACAGUUGCAGUUUUUUCGGAGGGACUUCAGUUCAGGACG